GCAGCUCUUUGUGUGGCUGAACUGUGAACCAGAUCAGGAUGCUGAUCCAUCUGAAAAAUAAACCAGGACUGGAUUUGAUCUUCUGUGAUGCUGAGCCCAAAUGCCUUGACUCCCCUCCCUUAUUAACUUCUAGAAGAAAAGAGAUAAGUACUGGAUGUUCAACAAAGGUCAGCUACUUUUAAAUCAGAAUUUGCUAAAUUGUUCAGUACUGCCAUACCUCUGCAACAG
Molecule: long non-coding RNA, 228 nt
Organism: Aquila chrysaetos chrysaetos
Lineage: Eukaryota; Metazoa; Chordata; Aves; Accipitriformes; Accipitridae
Exons: 3
Source: RefSeq, a predicted model, not a curated record